AUUGAACGCUGGCGGCAUGCCUUACGCAUGCAAGUCGAACGGCAGCACGGGAGCAAUCCUGGUGGCGAGUGGCGAACGGGUGAGUAAAGUAUCGGAACGUGCCCAGUCGUGGGGGAUAACGUAGCGAAAGUUACGCUAAUACCGCAUACGCUCUAUGGAUGAAAGCGGGGGAUCGCAAGACCUCGCGCGAUUGGAGCGGCCGAUAUCAGAUUAGGUAGUUGGUGGGGUAAAGGCUCACCAAGCCGACGAUCUGUAGCUGGUCUGAGAGGACGACCAGCCGCAGUGGGACGGCGACACGGCCCAGGCUCCUACGGGAGGCAGCAGUGGGGAAUUUUGGACAAUGGGCGAAAGCCUGAUCCAGCCAUGCCGCGUGCAGGAUGAAGGCCUUCGGGUUGUAAACUGCUUUUGUACGGAACGAAAAGGUUUGGCCUAAUAAGCUGAGCUCAUGACGGUACCGUAAGAAUAAGCACCGGCUAACUACGUGCCAGCCGCCGCGGUAA
Molecule: ribosomal RNA, 500 nt
Filed under: uncultured bacterium
Lineage: Bacteria
Description: partial 16S ribosomal RNA
Rfam family: Bacterial small subunit ribosomal RNA
Source: RNAcentral